CGGGUGCGGCGCCGGUCUAAGUUCCUUGGAACAGGACGUCAUAGAGGGUGAGAAUCCCGUUCAUGACCGGCGACCUAGCCCGUGUGAAGCUCCUUCGACGAGUCGAGUUGUUUGGGAAUGCAGCUCUAGAUGGGUGGUAAAUUUCAUCUAAAGCUAAAUACCGGCCAGAGACCGAUAGCGCACAAGUAGAGUGAUCGAAAGAUGAAAAGCACUUUGGAAAGAGAGUUAAAAAGUACGUGAAAUUGUUGAAAGGGAAGCGCUUGCGACCAGACUUGCUCGCGGGUGAUCAGCCGCCCUUCUGGGCGGUGCACUCGCCCGCGAUCAGGCCAGCAUCGGUUGGGCGGUCGGAUAAAGGCCCCGGGAAUGUAGCUCCCUCCGGGGAGUGUUAUAGCCUGGGGUGCAAUGUGGCCAGCCUGGACCGAGGACCGCGCUUCGGCUAGGAUGCUGGCGUAAUGGUUGUAAGCGACCCGUCUUGAAACACGGACCAAGGAGUCUAACAUCUAUGCGAGUGUUUGGGUGUCAAACCCAUGCGCGCAAUGAAAGUGAACGGAGGUGGGAACCCUCAAAGGGUGCACCAUCGACCGAUCCUGAUGUCUUCGGAUGGAUUUGAGUAAGAGCAUAGCUGUUGGGACCCGAAAGAUGGUGAACUAUGCCUGAAUAGGGUGAAGCCAGAGGAAACUCUGGUGGAGGCUCGCAGCGGUUCUGACGUGCAAAUCGAUCGUCAAAUUUGGGUAUAGGGGCGAAAGACUAAUCGAACCAUACUAGUAGCUGG
RNAcentral lists this ribosomal RNA (772 nucleotides) under Marchantiana kalbiorum. Its description in RNAcentral is "eukaryotic LSU rRNA". It matches the Rfam family "Eukaryotic large subunit ribosomal RNA", at positions 165 to 954 of the family's 3401-position model. Lineage: Eukaryota; Fungi; Ascomycota; Lecanoromycetes; Teloschistales; Teloschistaceae. The record is from RNAcentral.